CAAUAAAGCUGUCAGCCUUCAGGUGGGUGAGCUCUCACAGUUGUUCUUCCUGCCUUCUGGGUCUCACCACUGGAAGUUGGAGUUUCUUUUUGAGCUGGAUUUUCUUUAAACAGCCUCACAUACAUUCUGCUUGGAAACAGUGCCCCAGGAAGAGUGAAAAUGUCAUCCAGCACUAUGCAAUGUGGACAGGACUUGUAGCAACAGACAACAUCUUGAAUUCAAUCUGUGAAGGUGACUGCUGCAUAAAGAG
Molecule: long non-coding RNA, 250 nt
Organism: Melospiza melodia melodia
Lineage: Eukaryota; Metazoa; Chordata; Aves; Passeriformes; Passerellidae
Exons: 3
Source: RefSeq, a predicted model, not a curated record